RNAcentral lists this ribosomal RNA (686 nucleotides) under uncultured bacterium. RNAcentral's name for it is "bacterial SSU rRNA". It matches the Rfam family "Bacterial small subunit ribosomal RNA", at positions 56 to 755 of the family's 1533-position model. The record is from RNAcentral.
UGCAGUCGAACGAUGAAGCCCAGCUUGCUGGGUGGAAGAGUGGCGAACGGGUGAGUAACACGUGAGUAACCUGCCUAUCACUCUGGGAUAAGCGCUGGAAACGGCGUCUAAUACUGGAUAUGUCCCAUCACCGCAUGGUGUGUGGGUGGAAAGAUUUAUCGGUGGUAGAUGGACUCGCGGCCUAUCAGCUUGUUGGUGAGGUAAUGGCUCACCAAGGCGACGACGGGUAGCCGGCCUGAGAGGGUGACCGGCCACACUGGGACUGAGACACGGCCCAGACUCCUACGGGAGGCAGCAGUGGGGAAUAUUGCACAAUGGGCGCAAGCCUGAUGCAGCAACGCCGCGUGAGGGAUGACGGCCUUCGGGUUGUAAACCUCUUUUAGUAGGGAAGAAGCGAAAGUGACGGUACCUGCAGAAAAAGCACCGGCUAACUACGUGCCAGCAGCCGCGGUAAUACGUAGGGUGCAAGCGUUGUCCGGAAUUAUUGGGCGUAAAGAGCUCGUAGGCGGCUUGUCGCGUCUGCUGUGAAAACUGGAGGCUCAACCUCCAGCCUGCAGUGGGUACGGGCAAGCUAGAGUGCGGUAGGGGAGAUUGGAAUUCCUGGUGUAGCGGUGGAAUGCGCAGAUAUCAGGAGGAACACCGAUGGCGAAGGCAGAUCUCUGGGCCGUUACUGACGCUGAGGAGCG